CUCGGGACGCCGGCGAGUGGCGAACGGGUGAGUAACGCGUGGAUACCUGUCCUGUGGUGGGGAAUAACGUUUAGAAAUGAACGCUAAUACCGCAUAAGCCCCACGGGGGAAAGAUUUAUCGCCACAGGAGGGGUCUGCGUCGGAUUAGCUAGUUGGUGGGGUAAAGGCCUACCAAGGCGACGAUCCGUAGCUGGUCUGAGAGGAUGAUCAGCCACACUGGGACUGAGACACGGCCCAGACUCCUACGGGAGGCAGCAGUGGGGAAUAUUGCGCAAUGGGGGAAACCCUGACGCAGCAACGCCGCGUGGGUGAAGAAGGCCUUAGGGUUGUAAAGCCCUUUCAGUGGGAACGAUGAUGACGGUACCCACAGAAGAAGCUCCGGCUAACUCCGUGCCAGCAGCCGCGGUAAUACGGAGGGGGCUAGCGUUGU
RNAcentral lists this ribosomal RNA (430 nucleotides) under uncultured bacterium. RNAcentral describes it as "bacterial SSU rRNA". It matches the Rfam family "Bacterial small subunit ribosomal RNA", at positions 78 to 544 of the family's 1533-position model. The record is from RNAcentral.